RNAcentral lists this ribosomal RNA (305 nucleotides) under uncultured bacterium. Its description in RNAcentral is "bacterial SSU rRNA". It matches the Rfam family "Bacterial small subunit ribosomal RNA", at positions 334 to 631 of the family's 1533-position model. The record is from RNAcentral.
UGGUCCUACGGGGGACAGCAGUAGGGAAUCUUCCACAAUGGGCGAAAGCCUGAUGGAGCAACGCCGCGUGGGUGAAGAAGGUCUUCGGAUCGUAAAACCCUGUUGUUAGAGAAGAAAGUGCGUGAGAGUAACUGUUCACAUUUCGACGGUAUCUAACCAGAAAGCCACGGCUAACUACGUGCCAGCAGCCGCGGUAAUACGUAGGUGGCAAGCGUUAUCCAGAUUUAUUGGGCGUAAAGGGAACGCAGGCGGUGUUUUAAGUAUGAUGUGAAAGCUUUCGGCUUAACCGGAGUAGUGGAUUGGAA